CCUACGGGAGGCAGCAGUGAGGAAUAUUGGUCAAUGGGAGAGAUCCUGAACCAGCCAAGCCGCGUGAGGGAAGACGGCCCUAUGGGUUGUAAACCUCUUUUGUCGGAGAACAAAACCCGGGACGUGUCCCGGACUGCGUGUAUCCGAUGAAAAAGCAUCGGCUAACUCCGUGUCAGCAGCCGCGGUCAUACGGAGGAUGCGAGCGUUAUCCGGAUUUAUUGGGUUUAAAGGGUGCGUAGGCGGUCCGUUAAGUCAGCGGUAAAAGUGCGGGGCUCAACCCCGUCGAGCCGUUGAAACUGGCAGACUUGAGUUGGCGAGAAGUACGCGGAAGGCGCGGUGUAGCGGUGAAAUGCAUAGAUAUCGCGCAGAACUCCGAUUGCGAAGGCAGCGUACCGGCGCCAGACUGACGCUGAGGCACGAAAGCGUGGGGAUCGAACAGGAUUAGAUACCCCGGUAGUC
RNAcentral lists this ribosomal RNA (459 nucleotides) under uncultured bacterium. RNAcentral's name for it is "partial 16S ribosomal RNA". It matches the Rfam family "Bacterial small subunit ribosomal RNA", at positions 338 to 795 of the family's 1533-position model. The record is from RNAcentral.